GUGGGGAAUAUUGCGCAAUGGGGGAAACCCUGACGCAGCAACGCCGCGUGAGCGAAGAAGGCCUUCGGGUCGUAAAGCUCUGUCUUAAGGGAAGAAGAAGUGACAGUACCUUAAGAGGAAGCCCCGGCUAACUACGUGCCAGCAGCCGCGGUAACACGUAGGGGGCAAGCGUUGUCCGGAAUUACUGGGCGUAAAGGGUGCGUAGGCGGCCAAAUAAGUCAGAUGUGAAAGUCCAGGGCUUAACCGUGGAAUCGCAUUUGAAACUGUAUGGCUUGAGUGCAGGAGAGGAGAGCGGAAUUCCUAGUGUAGUGGUGAAAUGCGUAGAUAUUAGGAAGAACACCAGUGGCGAAGGCGGCUCUCUGGACUGUAACUGACGCUGAGGCACGAAAGCGUGGGGAGCGAACAGGAUUAGAAACCCUUGUAGUCC
This 427-nucleotide ribosomal RNA is filed under the name uncultured bacterium. RNAcentral describes it as "bacterial SSU rRNA". It matches the Rfam family "Bacterial small subunit ribosomal RNA", at positions 354 to 796 of the family's 1533-position model. The record is from RNAcentral.